CUUUGCCAUUGUGACUUUAGCCAAGUGUUGUGGAGGUCAGUGUACUAUAAGUUCUAACCAGAAACUUUUGUUUUGACGUUAAUUAUUAUACAUUUGGAUGUAAUUGCUCCAAGGGCUGCCGAUUUUACACAUAGGUAUGGUUGCAGUUCUGAACAACAGCCCGUACCUCCAGUGGAAUGAGAGAAUCAUUUGUAAGGUAUGAUUGAAUUUGCUGCCUGUGCCUUUGUUAUGUAUACUCCAGCAAAUAAGGUAAUUGCAGUGUUUUUUUUUUUA
Molecule: long non-coding RNA, 273 nt
Organism: Macrobrachium nipponense
Lineage: Eukaryota; Metazoa; Arthropoda; Malacostraca; Decapoda; Palaemonidae
Exons: 3
Source: RefSeq, a predicted model, not a curated record